This 661-nucleotide ribosomal RNA is filed under the name uncultured fungus. RNAcentral describes it as "eukaryotic LSU rRNA". It matches the Rfam family "Eukaryotic large subunit ribosomal RNA", at positions 24 to 664 of the family's 3401-position model. Lineage: Eukaryota; Fungi. The record is from RNAcentral.
CCCGCUGAACUUAAGCAUAUCAAUAAGCGGAGGAAAAGAAACUAACAAGGAUUCCCCUAGUAACUGCGAGUGAAGCGGGAAAAGCUCAAAUUUAAAAUCUGGUGGCCCUUGGUCAUCCGAGUUGUAAUUUAGAGAAGCGUCUUCCGCGCUGGACCAUGCACAAGUCUCCUGGAAUGGAGCGUCAUAGAGGGUGAGAAUCCCGUCUUUGGCAUGGAUGCACCAGGGCUUCUGUGAUGCGCUCUCGAAGAGUCGAGUUGUUUGGGAAUGCAGCUCAAAAUGGGUGGUGAACUCCAUCUAAAGCUAAAUAUUGGCGAGAGACCGAUAGCGAACAAGUACCGUGAGGGAAAGAUGAAAAGCACUUUGGAAAGAGAGUGAAACAGUACGUGAAAUUGUUGAAAGGGAAACGCUUGAAGUCAGUCGCGUCGACCGAGACUCAGCCUUGCCUUGGCUUGGUGUACUUCUCGGGUGACGGGUCAGCAUCAAUUUUGGUCGGUGGAUAAAGGCUCAGAGAAUGUGGCAUCUUCGGGUGUGUUAUAGCUCUGGGUUGUAUACAUCGGCUGGGAUUGAGGACACUCACCACGCCGCAAGGCCGGGUACUUGUACCACGUACGUGCUUAGGAUGCUGGCAUAAUGGCUUUAAUCGACCCGUCUUGAAACACGG